GGCAAACGCUAGCGGCGCGCCUGACACAUGCAAGUCGAACGGGCGGGAGCGAUCCUGCCCGUGGCGGACGGCUGAGUAACGCGUAGGUAACCCACCUCGGAGUGGGGGAUAACCCUCCGAAAGGAGGGCUAAUACCGCAUGAUGUCCGCACGCUACGGCGUAGCGGACGAAAGCCGCGAGGCGCUUCGAGCGGGGCCUGCGUCCGAUUAGCUCGUUGGUGGGGUAACGGCCCACCAAGGCGAUGAUCGGUAGCUGGUCUGAGAGGAUGGCCAGCCAG
RNAcentral lists this ribosomal RNA (277 nucleotides) under uncultured bacterium. Its description in RNAcentral is "partial 16S ribosomal RNA". It matches the Rfam family "Bacterial small subunit ribosomal RNA", at positions 28 to 311 of the family's 1533-position model. The record is from RNAcentral.